This 2190-nucleotide long non-coding RNA is filed under the name Nicotiana tabacum (common tobacco). RNAcentral's name for it is "long non-coding RNA (NTAB_LNC014508)". Lineage: Eukaryota; Viridiplantae; Streptophyta; Magnoliopsida; Solanales; Solanaceae. The record is from RNAcentral.
UCGAAAUCUAUAAGGAAUCGGAAAAUGUAUAAAACAUGAAAGUUGUAGCUCUUGUAUUCUAAUUUCCAGAAAUAUACACCAUUCAUCAUUUGGAUAUUUGUACAGAAAGUUAUAAUCGAUUGAAUAAGGGCUAGUAAAGCUGUUAUGAAAUUUCCCAGAAAUUUCUGAUGCGAGGAGGCUAAUUUGGAAGCUUAUAUCUCGAAAUAUAUAUGGAAUGGGAAAAUGUAUAAAACAUGAAAGUUGUAGCCCUUUAUUCUAGUUUCCAGAAAUUUAAACCAUUUGGCAUUCGGACAUUUGUACAGAAAGUUAUGAUCGGUUGAAUAUGGCUGGUAAAGCUGUCUCUGGUGGACUUUUAGUGACGAAACUGGACUUUUAGUGACGGGCGGACAGAAACUUAAGGACCAAAAAUGUUGAUUUCUUCAUUUUCGUUUUGGGAUUUUUGGAGCUCGGUACUUGGGCGAUUUUUGAGGUGUUCUUCACGAUUUCAACUCAAGUAAGUGUCCUAUACUUGAAAGUGUUUAUAUUACAUAAAUCCAUGAUUAUUUUCAUCGUUUAAUUCGGAUUUAAAUGGAAGAAAUCAAGAUUUUUGCAAAAUCUUCCAAAAAUAAAAAAUUAAGAUUUGGAGGUCGAGUUGUUGUCGGAAUUUGAUAAUUUUGGUAUGGUUGAACUCGUAUCGGAAUGAGUUAUCGGAUUUUAUAAGUUUCGCCGGAUUCCGAGAUGCAGGCCCCACGAGCGAAUUUUGAGUGCAAUUUCGGAUUUUUAAUGGAAAGUGUAGAAUUCCAUAUGUAAUUAAUUCCUAUAAUUUUUAUUGAUUGAAUAAAAUUAUUGUGGCUAGAUUCGAGGCAUUCGGAGGUCGAUUUGAGAGGAAAAGGCAUUGUGGAGUAGUAUUUUGCUCGGGUUUUUGCUAAUUUCGAGAAUUUUGGUAUUUUUUCGAUUAUUUUGAUUGGGCUUUGUCCCUUAUCAUAUUAUGACAUAUUCGUUCUGAUUUUGGAUAGAUUUGACGGACGUGGAGGCCAAUUCGAGGGGCAAAGGCGUCGCGAGCUAAAGAAGUAGCCGGUUCGAGGUGAGUAAUUGAUGUAAAUGAUGUCCUGAGGGUUUGAAACCCCGGAAUUUCACAUCGUAAUGCUAUAUUGAGGUGACUUGCACGCAGGAUAACGGGCGUGGGGUAGAGCACCAUUGGGGAUUGUGACUUGGUCCAUCCCGAGAGAUGUUUUUACCGUGUUUUCUACUUGAACUAAAUUGAGAAUCAUCCUUACUUGGAUUUAACUGUUACAUUUGGGAUUCUUGCCAAUUAUUUGAAUCAUUCAGGGAUUGACAUCACUGUUUUCGCAUACAUGCAUAUCAUUUGAUCUCAGUCCAAGGUUUUUAAAUACUGUUUUGUAAGCUCAGCCAUUUUUCUAAGAUUUGAAAACUUAAAUGGUAUUUUUAAAUGAUAUUUCGGGCUAAGAACUACUGUUUUACAAAUGCCCAAGGGGCUUAUGAUGAUUUCUGGACUGAGCAUGGAUCGAGCUGCGCACCGCAAUAGUGUUAUAUUGAUAUUGAGGUCGAGAGCCUGGUUGAUUACAUUGAUAUUGAGGCCGAGAGCCUGGGUGAUUAUACUGAUAUUGAUAUGAGGCCGAUGGCCUAGAUUUGAUGCCACGAGAUGGCUCGAUAUUGCGCUUGGGCUGUAGGAGCCCCUCCGGAGUCUGUACACACCCCUAGUGAGCGCCGUCGACGAUAAAUAAAUGGAUGGCUCGGGCUGCAGGCCGCAGUGGGUACUAUAGUGUACCAUCAUACGCAUUGCAUUGCACUCAUGCAUUUGUUUUUAUCUGUUAUACCUGUCUCAGUAUUUGGUACUCUGACUUAAUUGACUUGUUGCUUCACUAUUUGUUGUUCUAAACUGCCAGUUAUAGUUUACUUUGUAUUUUUCCAUGAUUUCUUAUUCUCAGCCUUUAUUUAUGUUUAUUACUCAUUGGGUCGGAGUACUCACUUUACUCCCUGCACCUUGCGUGCAGAUCCAGGUAUACCACAGGCUAAGUGAGGAAUUGUUUAGCUGAGCAGGCAGUAUCCAGGAGUAUUGAGGUAGCUGCAUGGCAUUCGCGUCCUUGAUCUCUCCCCUCUAUCUCUAUCUUUUAUUCCGUAUUUUUCCUAGACAGACUUGUAAUAGGUGGAUAUUAUGUAUUAGAGGCUCAUAUUCGUGACACCGAAUUC